Molecule: ribosomal RNA, 292 nt
Filed under: uncultured bacterium
Lineage: Bacteria
Also listed under: 1 other name
Description: partial 16S ribosomal RNA
Source: RNAcentral
GGACUACUCGGGUAUCUAAUCCCGUUCGCUCCCCUGGCUUUCGCGCCUCAGCGUCAGAAGAGGUCCAGCACGCCGCUUUCGCCACCGGCGUUCCUUCGGAUAUCUACGCAUUUCACCGCUCCACCCGAAGUUCCGCAUGCCCCUACCUCCCUCAAGAUGGCCAGUAUCGAAGGCAAUUUUCCGGUUGAGCCGAAAGAUUUCACCACCGACUUGACCACCCGCCUACGCGCCCUUUAAGCCCAGUGAAUCCGAACAACGUUCGCACGGUUCGUCUUACCGCGGCGGCUGGCAC